UACGUAGGGGGCAAGCGUUGUCCGGAUUUAUUGGGCGUAAAGAGCGUGUAGGCGGCCAGGUAGGUCAGCUGUGAAAACUCGAGGCUCAACCUCGAGACGUCGGUUGAAACCACCUGGCUAGAGUCCGGAAGAGGAGAGUGGAAUUCCUGGUGUAGCGGUGAAAUGCGCAGAUAUCAGGAGGAACACCGGUGGCGAAGGCGGGUCUCUGGGAAGUAACUGACGCUGAGAAGCGAAAGCGUGGGUAGCGAACAGG
This 253-nucleotide ribosomal RNA is filed under the name uncultured bacterium. RNAcentral describes it as "partial 16S ribosomal RNA". It matches the Rfam family "Bacterial small subunit ribosomal RNA", at positions 524 to 776 of the family's 1533-position model. The record is from RNAcentral.